This 229-nucleotide ribosomal RNA is filed under the name uncultured bacterium. RNAcentral describes it as "partial 16S ribosomal RNA". It matches the Rfam family "Bacterial small subunit ribosomal RNA", at positions 568 to 796 of the family's 1533-position model. The record is from RNAcentral.
CGCGUAGGCGGCCUGAUAAGUCAGUUGUGAAAGUCCACGGCUCAACCGUGGAAGUGCAUUUGAAACUGUCAGGCUUGAGUAUCGGAGGGGAAAGUGGAAUUCCCGGUGUAGAGGUGAAAUUCGUAGAGAUCGGGAGGAACACCGGUGGCGAAGGCGACUUUCUGGACGAAUACUGACGCUGAGGCGCGAAAGCGUGGGGAGCAAACAGGAUUAGAUACCCUGGUAGUCC